This 253-nucleotide ribosomal RNA is filed under the name uncultured bacterium. RNAcentral's name for it is "partial 16S ribosomal RNA". It matches the Rfam family "Bacterial small subunit ribosomal RNA", at positions 524 to 776 of the family's 1533-position model. The record is from RNAcentral.
UACAGAGGUCCCAAGCGUUGUUCGGAUUCACUGGGCGUAAAGGGCGCGUAGGUGGCGGGGUAAGUCUGAUGUGAAAUCUCCAAGCUUAACUUGGAAAUGGCAUUGGAAACUACCUUGCUAGAGGAUUGGAGGGGAGACUGGAAUUCUUGGUGUAGCAGUGAAAUGCGCAGAUAUCAGGAGGAACACCGGUGGCGAAGGCGGGUCUCUGGGCCGAAAUUGACGCUGAGGAGCGAAAGCGUGGGGAGCAAACAGG